Molecule: long non-coding RNA, 230 nt
Organism: Capra hircus (goat)
Lineage: Eukaryota; Metazoa; Chordata; Mammalia; Artiodactyla; Bovidae
Exons: 3
Source: RefSeq, a predicted model, not a curated record
AGAAUGUUCCAGGCAGACUUACCAUCAUCGGAAACGCAGGCCCAGAAGAAAUAAGCUUCAUGAGAGAAGGAACCGUGUCUAGCUCCUUCACUGCCAGAUUCCUAGAGCCUAGAAGGUAAUGAAGAGGUCAGAUAUCUACCAGUGUAUCAUGCCGCCUUAGCUGGGGUUCUCAGGAAUGUCAGAAGUACCUGAAUGGCUUUUCUAACAUUACACUCCUGUCUGCUUCCACC